GAUGAACGCUGGCGGCGUGCCUAAUACAUGCAAGUCGAGCGAACGGACGAGAAGCUUGCUUCUCUGAUGUUAGCGGCGGACGGGUGAGUAACACGUGGAUAACCUACCUAUAAGACUGGGAUAACUUCGGGAAACCGUAGCUAAUACCGGAUAAUAUUUUGAACCGCAUGGUUCAAAAGUGAAAGACGGUCUUGCUGUCACUUAUAGAUGGAUCCGCGCUGCAUUAGCUAGUUGGUAAGGUAACGGCUUACCAAGGCAACGAUGCAUAGCCGACCUGAGAGGGUGAUCGGCCACACUGGAAAUGAGACACGGUCCAGACUCCUAAGGGAGGCAGCAGUAGGGAAUCUUCCGGAAUGGGCGAAAGCCUGACGGAGCAACGCCGCGUGAGUGAUGAAGGUCUUCGGAUCGUAAAACUCUGUUAUUAGGGAAGAACAUAUGUGUAAGUAACUGUGCACAUCUUGACGGUACCUAAUCAGAAAGCCACGGCUAACUACGUG
Molecule: ribosomal RNA, 497 nt
Filed under: uncultured bacterium
Lineage: Bacteria
Description: partial 16S ribosomal RNA
Rfam family: Bacterial small subunit ribosomal RNA
Source: RNAcentral